AGAGCCAACAAGGUGAGGACAUUCUCAGAAGUACCUGAGGAGAGGUUUCCACCGCACAUUUCUGUGCCCGGCUCAGGUCUGUGGAGCGAGAAGCUCCAGGUGCGGCUGCAGCCUCAGGAAGUGCUUGUCACAGUGCUCUUCGGUACACUCCCUCCAGCUGAGGACCACUGAUGCUCAGGGCGACCUAACCCGGGUUACCCGCUCCGGUCUGGCCACCAAGUUAGCAAGGGAAGAAGGCCCAAUCCUGGGGACUCAGCAUUGAACUUGGGUCAGAAGUUCCAGAGUGGACGUCCCUCAAGGCUGAAGUGUUGAGGAUUGUAUUCAGAACUGGUGCCCUCAGAAGAAGAGGAAGAGACACCAAAAAGCUCUCUCUCCGUGCGCUCACAGAAGAAAGGCCAGGUGGGGACAGUGAGCAGGUGGCGUCUGCAAGCCAGGAGGAAGGCUCUCACCAGAAACCAGCCCUGCUGACACCUUGGUCAUGGACUUCCAGCCUCCAGAACUGGAACGCUUUGCGCCAGGAGGUAAUCAAGGGCCCCUGGAGGCCAGCGGGCUCCUCGUCUUCAUUGCCUGUGCCAGAGGAGAAGAGUUGGCGUAUCCUUCGUCGUGCCACAGCUGAGUGCACCCAGAACUACAUGACCUCCCCUCACGCUGCAUCUCUGCAGGGGCCUCCUCGGCGCCCUGUCGUGUCCUGGACCCCCACUUACUAGGAGUUUCCGGCCCCAGCAAGGUUUCUCCACCUGUGUCCUCCUACAGCAGUGCUGUCUGAUGGAACUUCGGCAACAAUCAAAAUCUUCUGUAUCUGUUGUCCAGCGUGGGAGCCGCUAGUCUCCAUGUAGCUAUCAAACCCUUGAAACAUAGCUGGUGUGACUGAGGAGCUGAAUUUUAAAUUGUAAUUAAUUUUAAUUUAAAUAAUUACAUGUGGCUAGCAGCCAGCAGACUGGACAGCACGGUUGUAGAAUGUGUGCUCUGUGAGGGCACGGACUGUGUCUUUCCCAUCUUUAGAGCCCUCACGUCAAGUCCCACCUUCUCCUCCAAGCAACAUACUGUACCUCGCAGAAGACGUCUGAUAAAUAUCUAUUGAACUGAAUCCUGGAACCGAGUCCUUGCGGCGCCGUGAACUAGCGUGAGCUCCGGGGAAAUUUCCCUUCAUCUCUGUCUAUUCCUCCAUCUCUUGAUGAAGUAUGUCCUGCACACCAGUUCUGCUCCAACCUGAGGGGAUAUGAAAAUAAAUAAAAGCUAGUCCCCAUCCUUCCAGGAGACACAGUCUCCUCUGGGCAACCAUUCUUUCAGAAGUAAAAUGAGAGGGUUAAUCCUGAAGAUUUCUGAGAUCUCUUCCAGACCUAAGAUUUUGUAAAUACAUUCACUGAAUUGUUUGUUUGUGCCUGUGAUCACUUUGGGAGUUUAUGCAAGUGGAUAAUAAAUCGAUAAAAUGAGGAC
This 1437-nucleotide long non-coding RNA is filed under the name Equus caballus (horse). RNAcentral's name for it is "lncRNA (ENSECAG00000055742.1)". The record is from RNAcentral. Lineage: Eukaryota; Metazoa; Chordata; Mammalia; Perissodactyla; Equidae.